UUUUUUUUUUUUUUCUCAUUCCUUUAAAAGUUUAAUUCAGGGGAAUAAAAAAUAAUUUGUGACCAGGGUAGUAAAGAUAUUAUGACACAAGGCAGAGCUUAACUUUCCUGUGUGCUUCUGGGCUUUGCAGUUUGGAGAGAAAGCAGCUGAGUGAAACUCAGCCUCCUGCUUUGUGGAACCUCAUUAUAUACAUUGUAAUGUUUAAACCUACCACUUGGUCAAAUAAUAAAGGAGGAAGAGAAGAGGAAGAAGAAGCCAUCUCCCGCCCCCUAACAGGGACCAAUGCCAACCCCUUCCAUUUAUGCAGCUCUGCCCUCUUUACAAGUAAAUUAAUUCACUUAUUUUCCAAGAACCCCAAUGUACAGAUGUGCAGAAAGACUAGCAUCUCCUUUUACAGAUAAAGACACUACAGUUUAGCAAGAAUAAGUCACUUGCCCAAGAACACAUAGGCAGCAAGUCAGUUAAAAUGUUUUCAGUUAAAAGUAACAGAAGACUUGAUUUUAAAUAGCUUGAACAGGAGUGCCCAUUGUGGCUCAUGAGUAAUGAACUCGACUAGCAUCCAGAGGUUCGAUCCCUGGUCCCGAACAGUAGGUUAAGGAUCCAGCAUUGCUGUGAGCUGUGGUGUAGCUCGCUGAUGAGGCUUCGAUCUGGCAUUGCUGUGGCUGUGGUGUAUGCCGACAGCUGCAAUUCAGCCCCUAGCUUGGGAACUUCCAUAUGCCACUGGUGUAGCCCUAAUAAUAAUAAUAAUAAUAGUCAUAAAUAGCUUAGGGAGUUCCUGUCAUGGCUCAGCGGUAACAAACCCAGCUAAUAUCCAUGAAGACAUGGGUUCAAUCUUUGGCCUUGUGGGGACAGGGUCAGGAAGAGGACAAGGACCUGAUGAGCCUUGUAAAUCAACAUUUUAUCCAGGAAGGUGGGAAAGACAAUCUAUAGUAGGUGACUAACAUCAUGAGGUUUCCUGUGCCAAGCCUCUGAGGUGUGAAACGCUUGGCAUAACCAAGGAACUGAGGCCCCAGAGUAGCUGGAGCUCAGAGAGCCAGUGCUGCAGAGGCAUCAAAAGGAGUUCUGGGAGGCAGCAGAGCCAGGGUCCACAGCCAGGCUAAGGGGCUUACAUUUUAUUGAGAGAAAGGAAUAGAUGAAACACAAAGACGAAGCAGGAAAAGAGAGACUUGGAAGGCAAAUUUCCUGAGCUCAAGCCACUUGAGAUCAUGCUGGCAGUGGAGAACCCCGGGGUGGGAUUUCAGAGCACAACCAGCCUCGGGCCAUCCUACCCAGCCAAGGAUGGUGUAACAGCCUCCCAGAGGUCCACACCUCCCGGAGUCAGCUCAGGGUCCUCCCCAGGGUGGGCUGCAGGCCUCAGGGAGACCUUCAGAAGUGAGUGAUUUGCCCCAAGGACAAGCCACAAAGGGCCAGCCCCUCCUCCUGGCAGCUUCCAGAUCUCCUGCAGGUGGAGGCCAUCAAAAAGAGAUGAGCACACAGCCCUGAGACACCUGUGGGGAGGAGCUUUAUUGGUCUGCCCUUACUGGGAACUCCUCCAGCUGAUGGGAGGGGGAGAAACCUGAGCUCUCUGGCAGGAGUCAGAUGGGCCCUGGAAACACAUUUCCCCUUGGGUCGCCUUUGCAAAAUCUAUGAUGGAUGUGGGACUUGCAGAGUUUAGAAUUUUCUAGCCAAAAUGUAUCUUCAGAACCUUCGAAUCCCAGCUCUUAACUUUAGAGAAGAGAAAGCCAAAGCCUAAGAGGAAAAGUGGCUUGCCCCCAGAUCACAAAGUUAGUCAUAAUGGACCGUGACUGGUACAUAUCUGAAGACUCUCUAUUUAGUGCUCUUGCCAAUAAUAAUAAUAAUAAUAACUAACAAAUAUUGAGCCUUUACUAUGUAUUAGACUAUUCUAAGAGCCUAGAAUGUUUUAUUUAAUCUGUGCCAUUACAAUAGUAUGAUCCCCAUUUUAGAGAUGAAGAAACUGAGGCACAGUUUAAGUAACUCUCCCAAACUUGCAGUUAGAUUUUGAACUCGGGGAGCCUGCACUUUUAAAGACCACUAGGAAGUGCCUAUGGAUGUCUAACCCCUCUGCUCCAACCCCACCUCCUCCAAAAGGCAAAAUCUAUUCACUAAUGUGGACUCUACUUUAAAAUGUUUGGUUUGCUUUGGACCUGAGUGGGUUCGCUCUCUUCUCCCACCCACAGCCUUCACUCAGUCUGGGACAGCCAGUGGUCUGUGCUAACAAUAGACCAGGAUAGCAUGCUAGCCCUUUUUCCUCUAUGCUAAAUAAAUACUCCCAUCCCCAGUAACCUCAAGGUAGAAACAAGGUCACAUGCCAAUAUGUCAGCUGAGCCCGUGUCCCUUCCACCACUCACCAACUUUCUGUCCUUGGCUCUCUGUCCCUGCUGGCUGACUUAUAUAAAUUACAUCACUGGGUGUCCUUGCCCCUCAUGGUGACAAUGGGAAACAUGAUCCGGAGAUUAGAGGAAGAGAAAAGAGAGGUUGGGGUAUUUGUUCCCCCAGCACUGAAUUUCUAGUCACCACAAGCUGGCUGAAUCCCUCCCCUACAGGUCCAGCUGCUGUCGGAGGGGGGCCCUCCCAUAUAGCCCUCUGUUCUUGAUCCAGCUAUCAACUCUCCUCACCCCUUCGGGACUAGGGAUGGUGAAGAAGCCCCUCUGUUACUGGCUUCAAGGUUCUGCAACAUCCCUUGUGAUCGCCUUACCCGCCAUUCCACCAUGAAGGGUUCACUUACUCGCUUCUUGAUGUAUCCUAGUUGAGCCAUCUAUUUCCUGACUGAUACACAGAUUCUUCCUUGACCUUCUUGAUUGAGCACUCUGCCACAGGCCAGGUGAGCUGGGAGGGACAGAGCUGGCCCCUCCACCUUCAACUCUCCAGGUCCAAGUGGUUCAAAGAGGGCUGCCGCAGCUCCAUCCCAACUCAGGGAUUCACUUCUGCCAGUGGGGACCGAGGAGGGAAUGGUCCUUUCCUGGUGAUCAGCUCAGGAUGGGCGCAUGACGGGAGUUGGUACAAAUGAGAGUCCGCAUGAAGGCUUUUCUUAAAGCUGGAACCUCCUCCUAAAACUGGGAUGAGAGGCACCAGCCAGGAGCUGCUUGGGGCUCUCCUUCCUUACUCGGUAAGCGCCUGCCUGAGAAAGCAGCAAAUACAAAGGAGCAUAGAGUACGAAAAAGCAGGAAAAUCCUGCCUUGAUCAGUAGAGCACCUACUUUCAGUCAUGCUCUAAUUCAACACAACCCCUGGACUUUUCAGUGAAGGAAGCCAACCCAGUUCCUUUGAUGCUUAAAUCAAUUUGAGUUUCUGACACAUGCAAUUAAGAGUCCUGGAUAAUCUAGAAAGUCUUAAACUCAUCAAGGAUUUGAGGUACAGAUCAGGAAAUCUGAGGCAAAAGCCCAGAUGUAUGGGACCCAGCCAGUAGAGAGCUGCAACCCCAGCCUAUCUAAUGAAGUCCACAGCCUCUGAAAUCAUGCUGCUUGGGUUUGAAACCUGACUCAGCUACUUCUUGGCUGUGGGAGGUGCCCUGUGUGCCUCAGUUUCCUCAUCUGUGUGCUACAGAUAUUCAAAGCAACACUUGCCUACUAGGGCUAUUGGAAGGAUUAAAUAGGCUACCCCAUAGGAAGCACUUACAACCAUUCUGGACAGCUUAUAAACUCACAAUUAAACAUGAGGUCUUGCCAUCAUCCUAAGGCACACAGGUGACCCCAAGCUCAUUCCAGUUUGUAUAGAAAAGUGCUUCAGUUAUACAUACAUACAUACAUAUAUAUGUGUAUAUAUAUAUAUUCUUUUUCACUUUCUUUUCCAUUAUGAUUUAGCACAGGAUAUUGAAUAUAGUUUCCUGUGUUAUACAGUAGGACUUUGUUCUUUAUCCAUCCUAUAUAUAAUAAUUUGCAUUGGCUAAUCCCAAACUCCCAAUACUUACUUCUCCUCACUCACUCCUUCCAUGCCCACCAAGGUGAGAAAGCUGAGGCCAGGAAGCUGGACCUGCACCAAGUCAGAAUGGCUCAGAGGCUCCAAGGCUAAGCCUGUAGGAGAAGCCUCAACACUGACCUGCUCUUGUUGGGUUAGGAUGACUUAGGGCCCCAGGCUGGCAAGCUCAGGGCGUCCCUGAGAUGUCCAGUGCAUCCCUCAGAUCUGGCCACCAUUGCAGAACCUGCUGGGAGGCCCCUCCCCUCCCCUACCAUGACCACCACCCAGGUUGCUAUAACAAUCAUUUCAUAACCACCAGAAGCCCUGAAAAGGCAGACACCAGGGCAAGGGCCAGCCUGUAUUCCCAUCUGGGAGAGCACAUCGCCAGGCUCCCCGUCAGUUUGUAUUUGUAUUUGUGACACCCCAAGGUAGAAUGGGUUAUCUUUGGUUAGAAAGGAAAUUGUGGAUUUUGUUUUUACAGAAUUAAGGGUGCCCCUGACCAAGCAAAAGAAAAAGUGCA
This 4413-nucleotide long non-coding RNA is filed under the name Sus scrofa (pig). Its description in RNAcentral is "lncRNA (ENSSSCG00045019612.1)". The record is from RNAcentral. Lineage: Eukaryota; Metazoa; Chordata; Mammalia; Artiodactyla; Suidae.